GAUCUAGUUAUUUUUAUUAUAUUUGGUAUAAUUAAUAAGAAUGUAAAAGGUGUGAAAUUUUUAUAAUGUGUUAAAUUUUGUUGGAUCCUUUGUUUAGUGGUUUCAUGAGAAGAGAUUCGUGCUCAUACGAUGCAAUGGAAAACGAACUAAAAAAAUUUCAUGUGUUUAUUUUUUUCCUUAGAAUUGGAGAAGCAAGCCUAGUGCUCCAAGAGAUUCUCAUAGUGACUCUGUAGCUAGGAUAAGAAACUCAAGUUCGUUCGCCUGCUCAUAACCCGAUUCAUACACUUUUAUUUGAAAAACUUUUCCAUAUUCUCAAACUCUUCAGGAGAUGCAGUUGAUAAUAUUAGUAGCAAAUUAAGAUUGAUUUACAGAUUCAUUUGACUUCACUAUAUGAAACUUCUUGUUACAGCAAACCAAAAAAUGCAAUAAAAUUUACUUUUCACAACGUUAUUUUAAUACGUACAUGAACUAUUUCCAUUGCCUUUAUAAACACAACCACAAAAGUACUACAACUUUUGCAAAGAUUCAUGAAACAGAUGAAUCUUCAUUUGCUAAUGAAUAUGUUUAACAUUGAUGUAGCAUUUCAAAAAAUUUAGUUAGAUGGAAAUCGGUGUGAAAGACUUUACCUUCUACACCACAUAAUCAAGGUUACUUGGUGUCCAUCAGUUAUAGCUCUAGCACCAUGGCAGAGAGAUUCAGUCAUCUGUUAAGUAAAGUAACUUCACUUCCAUAUCAUUCCUAGGGUCAUCUCCUACAUGAACCGCAUCCUCAGCUUUCACUCAUAGCAAUUCAUAAGCUUUCAAGUAGUUGGUUGUAAUUGGCUUAUCAACGGAAAAUCAAUGUAUAGACACAUACUCACUCCCUAAACGUUUCAAAUCAUCAACCAAAUCAUAAAAACAAAGGAGAAGACAUUAUGUUACUUCUUCUGAAACAGCCACAACAUCAAAUCAGUCUUCACAUCCCAAUGCUCGUAGGAGAGGUCAUACUAGUGUGUUGAAGUUGGACAUAAUGAAAACUUUUUCACCCGCUUCUUUAAUAACCUUGAACAAUUUCUCUGCCUCCGGAUCACAUAGCUUCCACGUCUGGUAAAACGGAUGGGAUAAAUAUUUAGAGAAAGAAACAAACUUUAAAGUGUGCCUCAAGCGUAUGAAAAAAUUGUAGGAAAGAUCAAAUCUCUUAUGCUAUUCAAAGUAUCGAGAAUUCGAGCAACCUGUUGAUGCACUCACAAAAUAUUGUUAGAAAGGUAUCGUAUCUUACGCAUAUCUAUAAAAAGUUAAUUUUAAACCUGAAAUUGUUGGUACAUAAUUAGUCUAAUCAAGAUACUCGCUGCACUAACACUAAACAUUAUGCAAUGUGGAAUUCAAACGAAUGAAAAACCACAAAAGAACAUUUCUCCUAUCGGCGAUUUUCUUGGAGUAUAAGAAAGAAAGAAUUACAUUGUAGGUCAGUUUAUGUAAGUUUAAUUACACAAUAGAACACUUUUGACUACUGGGGUAGUUUUACACACAAUCCCACACAUUUAACCAUAGUAAAACUCCAAAGUACCCUUUCCAUUUUUCUUCCUCUUUCAUCUUUUUGUCUGUGUAUGAUGAGAUGGCGUCUAGAAAUUUUAAAAUUUGAGAAAAUCGUUCGGAGUCAAUGGAAAAUAACACCGGCGAAUAAAUAAAUCAGUGAGGAGAAGCGACAUCGUCUUUGGUUUUACCUCUUCCUCUCUGUUGACGGCAGAGGAAUUGAGAAAUCAGUGAGGAGAAGCUAUAGGAUCUUUGGUUUUGUCUCUUCCUCUCUGUUGACGGUGGAAGAAUCGAGAAAUCAGUGAGGGCGUUGGGAUCACGAAGCUGAAUUGGGUGUAUAGUGGAUCGAAAGAUGAGACCUUUGGGAACUUGAUGACGGUGGCGGUAGGUGGCGGAGAUGACGGUGGGAGUAGCGACGAAAAUGGAAAUAUUGGUAACUGAGGCGGAGGAGAUGGAGGUGAUUAUGAAGAGGAUAAAGUUUAUAAAGCUGAGGAGAAUGAAUAUGAUACUAAAGUUCGACGAAGUUAUGAAAGACGGAACAUUCACAAUCAGAGGUUAUGUUGGAGGCGGCGAAGUUUGUGCUUUUCAGAAACAGAGAUGUUCUUAUAGUAACUUCAUGUAUCGAUAGGUUGUAGCAUUUUUUUGGGUUACUAGUUUACAAGUUUUAUGUUAAGAACUACGUUCGGUUACGAGGAACAUCCUUAUGGAUGGAUUCUACACAUAAUUAGCUCACAACACUUUUGCUUGGUUUCUAUAAGUCAAGACCAUCUAUAAGCUAUGAGUUAACUCAGUGAGUCUGUUUCAUGUUUCUUGUUGCAGUUUUGGCUAUUUAAUGAGUUUUUUCAUCGCCAUUAUGUGGCCAAAAGAUCAAUGAGCCACACUAUCACAUUUUUGCCAAUCAAGAACUCCCAAAGAGAUGAACCGCUGUUCUUCUUUGUUGCUGGAGGAUAUGUUGUAACUGUGUGAGUGAAGGGAGAUACAAAAAAACUUAAAAUCAUGGUUGAGAGAGAGUCCACACAGUCUGAAAAUGAGUUUAUAUAUAUAUAUAUAUGUUUUUGGUUAUGUCAAAUUUGUAGAAAUGAAUCUCGUGUAGAGGUGUACACAUGGAUAGUUUUUAGGAGGUGUAUACUUGGAUUAUAUUUAUGUGUACGUUUGUUGUAAUAUGUUGUACAUGUGGAUAGCAUUAUCAUGUAAAUUCAAUAACGAAGGAUAUGUGUCCAUGUUGAAAGUUCUUUGUUGUACAUAUAAAGCCAAUUUUGAAUGCAAGCAAUAUAAGUGGCACAAUGAAGUAAGAAUGUUGUAAAUUGAUGUAUAUAUAGAUUGUAAUCUGGUGUACAUGUUGGCUAAAAGUUCCUUGUUGUUCAUAUGAAACCAAUUUUGAACGCAAGCAAUAUCAGUAACAGAAAAUAUAAGGCACAUAAUGCAUAUGUUGAAAGUACUGAUAUAAGUAUGUUGUCCAGUCUACAAUCCCCACACAUAAAACAAUUUCAUCAUAAAACAAAGACGUUGAGAACAAAGCCACAUGUUACUUAUUAGAUUUAAGAGGUUCGACAGUUAACUAGAAAUUUACAACCCAGUCAUUCAGCUCCAAAACCACUUCAUAAUCACAAAACUCACUAUUAGUACAUCUCAGUUCGGAUAUACAACCAAAUCUUUAUACAUAGUGCAAAGAGUUUGACCAAUUUGCCCAUUGAUUAAGAAAAACUUAAGAAUGAGAAAGAAAAGAUAGUGACAGUCUUACCUGCUACGAAAGGCUGCGGAAACAACAUAAAUAAUCAUAUUAGCUUUGUCUCCACUAGAAACACUAGUUCCUCUAAAAUAAUGGCCUAGCCCAAGAAGGAAACAAGACAUAGUAUAAGAUGCACACUCUAAGAUUAGAACUUUUGGUACUUACAAACCUACAAACGACCAUUCGCUCCAUAAUUGCACAGAUCUAGAAAGUGCAAGGUUAUGUUGGCGUUGGGAUGAGAAACCCUGGUUCCGUCAGAGUUUGUUUUGAUCUCCUCUGAAGAUCAAAUGGCGGAGUUGAGCUGGUCCAUCGGAUAUCUCAUAUGCUCACAGAUCCGUGGAGACACCGACGAUUGAAGAGAUUAUGGUUCUCUUUUCAGCGAAAUUAAUGGGUUUGAGCAAAGGUAUGAGGCGGAUUGAGAGGAACUGCUGAAAUCAUGCCCGAAAUUUGACAAUGGCUUUGUCGGAACAGUUCGUCGGUGGAAAAAAAAUACUGUCGUCAUUGUUUUAGGAGUUUCUUGUUUAAACAAAGCAAAAAAUAAAUCAUUAUUUUCUUUCAUUAAAAGGAGGAUAGUGUUGUCUUUCCAACCCCAUAAACUACCUCAGUAGCAAAAAGUGUCUCACACUGUAAUAAAAAGUCAAAAACUGACUUUAAGUGUAAAUCACUCUAUAAGAAACACAUACGAUGGUACCUGAAA
Brassica napus (rape) is the source of this 3937-nucleotide long non-coding RNA. RefSeq lists it as uncharacterized. The record is from RefSeq and is a predicted model, not a curated record. Lineage: Eukaryota; Viridiplantae; Streptophyta; Magnoliopsida; Brassicales; Brassicaceae. The transcript is spliced from 2 exons.